Molecule: long non-coding RNA, 2098 nt
Organism: Bemisia tabaci
Lineage: Eukaryota; Metazoa; Arthropoda; Insecta; Hemiptera; Aleyrodidae
Source: RefSeq, a predicted model, not a curated record
CCCGCCAUUCGUUCAUUCGUUCAGUGAUCAGUUCGCGAGUCCCACGGUAGUAUUUCACGGCCUGUCCAGUCGCCUGCACAUCCGUUAUUUACCGCUUUUACUUCGGACUUAGUCGCGCUCGAAAGUUUUUCUGUUGAAUCUCUGCCCCAUCGUUUCGAGUCCUCGAUUGCGUUGUACCUAUUCCAUCUCCCACGCUAACUUUCGUAUUUUCACGGUUCUACUAUCAUGGAAGGGCAUCUCCUCGGCAGUCCAAUCACAGAGGCUUCGGUUUUGCUAAUUUUAGCCGUUGUGUCGCACGUACUCUACGAACUUUUAUUCAGUGGCCCUCCGUCGUCUGGCAGACGUGUUAAAGGUGUCCUUGUGAUCAUGAGAAUUUUCCUUUUCCUUCUUGCCAUCGCAUUAAUUCUGGAGAUGCUGCUGCUUGUUAUGAAUUGGCGAAUUUUGACGUUGAUCUUUGUUUUCGUGACCGUCGACUAUUUAACGGAUCAGGCGUUGGGCGAUGUUUGGAUUUGGGUCAUACUUUUCAUUCUCGGGCUGAUGUUUUUGCCGGCUGCUCGCCUGAUACCUAGCUUUGCUGCAGCGACUAGGCGCAAUACGUCGAAGAAGAGCAAUCAAGACUUCCUGUUCCACCACUUUGGCAGAUCUCCGUCGGCGUAGGAGCUUCGUCAACACGAAUGGCGAUGAUGGUGUCAGUGUCAGCUACUGUCGGCUACAGGAUGAGAAUAAGGUAUUCACUAUGGGAGAUCCCCCAGAUAACAAACUAUCGGAUCAAAUGCACAAUCGAGCAAUCAUUUUACCAUUGUGUGUCGACCUGGUUGGAGCCUUCAACAAUUGUUAAAGCCUUCUGUCAUAGAGUGUUUCUUCACGUUUCAAAAUGGCAAUGAUGGUGUUGGUGUCAGCUACAAGAUGAGGCAUUUACUACUAGAGAUUCUUUAGAUAGGAAACUACAGGAUCAUAUGCAGGACCGAGCUAUCAUUUUACAGUUGAAUAUCGACCUGGUAUCCAGCUCCCAACAAUUGUUGAAGGUUCCAGUCUUUGAGAACCGAAGUCCCUCCUAAUUGAAGAAGAUAGUUCACAAGUUGCUGUGCUCCAAGCAGUGAUUGGAAGCUCCAUGCCUUAUGCCUCGAGAAGAUAGUUCACAAGUCAUUGUGCCCCAAGCAGUGAUUGGGAGCUCCAUGCCUCAUGCCUCGAGCCAGCUAUUGCAAAUCUACUGUUCAGAAUUUUUCUGUCGCUGCACUAAGCAAUAUUGUUCAAUUUACUCAGCCACUUCAUGUGUAUACCUUUACGAUUCUUUAAUGCAAUGGGCCAACUUGUCGGCAUGAAGUAUCAAGUCUCAUUUUUACCAACAGGUCAGCAGCUCUCUAGGUGAGGGUCAUACCUUCUCGAAAAUUUAAACGUGUAUUACUCUUAAAGUUGUAAUUAAAAAAAAAAGGUAGAAAACCUAUCAGCUUUUCUCUAAAAUUCAAAAUUUCUUUUUGCUCCAGGUACUCUAACAUUAACUUUGCUGCUGUACAGCUUCAAAUUAGCGAGUUAAAUGAGGUUUCUUACCAAGUAAUGAGAAGCACGACAACAAGAGGCUUACUUCACGAGCUUAUAUUACGGCAAUUAAAUAUUAGUCAAAAGUUUUAAUUGAUCUAGAUUAUGGGGGUUUUUCGAAAUGAAUGUGAAAAAGACUUUGAAUUAUUUUUCUACCAUGCAAAAGCGUUCCCUUAAAUAUGGUUAUCAAGAUGUUUGCCUUUUUAUUUUGAAAAUCGAAGGGACAAGACUCUUUUUAACAUUUAUAACUAAUUUUUUUUACGUACAAGUUGCUUUCCAAUAUUGCUUAAAACAUCUUCUACCUAUUUUCCUCAACUCUUUGAUCCCCAGUUAAUCUUCUAAAUAUUUGAUAUUACCUGUCCACUGUGAAUGUUCCUAUAGUAAUUUUUCUCAACUUGUAGACGCAUUAGUACUUCUGUGUUCAUUCGGCUACCUACCACAUUAGUUUUUAAGUUCUCAUAUCAUUUACAGUCUGCAUGAAGGUUACAUGCAUGUUCGACUUAUGUACAUUUGGCACUGCCCUCUGGAAUUAUUAAGAUUAAAUGUUUACCAUAUUCACAGA